UACGUAGGGCGCAAGCGUUGUCCGGAAUUAUUGGGCGUAAAGAGCUCGUAGGCGGCUUGUUACGUCGGGUGUGAAAGCCCGGGGCUUAACCCCGGGUCUGCAUUCGAUACGGGCUGGCUGGAGUGUGGUAGGGGAGAUCGGAAUUCCUGGUGUAGCGGUGAAAUGCGCAGAUAUCAGGAGGAACACCGGUGGCGAAGGCGGGUCUCUGGGCCGAUACUGACGCUGAGGAGCGAAAGCGUGGGGAGCGAACAGG
RNAcentral lists this ribosomal RNA (253 nucleotides) under uncultured bacterium. RNAcentral describes it as "partial 16S ribosomal RNA". It matches the Rfam family "Bacterial small subunit ribosomal RNA", at positions 524 to 776 of the family's 1533-position model. The record is from RNAcentral.